GUCAGGGUGCGGGUCAGGGUGCGGGUCGGGGUCGGGGUCGGUGGGCUUUCUCCCCACAGCACGAGCAGCUCCUCAGCUUUCCUCGGAGCUGGCCCCAGCCGCACACACGCCUCAGAGGCACCAGCACCGAGUGCGGCUGGCCGGCAGCAAGCACAAAGUGCAGGGAACUGCUUCACGGCGAGACCUGCGCGCUGCACCACUGCCUGCACCGGCACCGGGGGGCACACCGGGCACCAGGGGCUGCGGGGAGGCCAGAGGCACCGGCAGAGACCUCGAGACCUCACACCAGCGGCUCCCUGGGUGCCGGUGGCAGCGGGGCCUGGGCGCUGCUGCUUGUAAAGGACCCGAGGGAGCGCCGAGGAAAUCCCAGCCCGCGAGGGCAGCAGCUGCAGCGGGCGAAGCGGGGGGAACCUGCUUCUGGCACCGGGCACAGGGCGGAGCGGCAGGGAAGGCACACGGCAGCCUUGGGGCUCAGCCGGUCCUGCGCCCGCCGCAGCGCUGCCCACGCCUGCGGGGCAAGGGGCAGCCGUGGCUCGUGGCACAGCACCUGCGGCAGCACCGGGCACAGCUCGGCAGGGGUUUGGGGCCAUUUCCCUCUCCGGUGCUCAGGGCAGGACGCAAGGGGCGGGUGCGGAGCAGGGCCGGCCGGUCCCGGGGCACGCGGAGCCCCGCGGCUUCGCCUCUGCACCCCGACGGAGCAGCGAUGCUGUGAAACUGGGCACGGCUUCGUGCUAACGGCGCUUCAAAGGAAUAUUGAAAAAUCAAAGAGAUUUUGAAGAGACCCACGCAGAGCGAUUUGAGGGCUAGAGCGAGUGCCUUACAGCAGAAGAUUUAAAGAGCACAAUCUGUUCGGCUUAUCCAAAAGAAGAUUGAGGGGUGACUUGAUUACACUGUAGAAGCACUUUCGCAGGGAAAUAUUAAAUGGCUCUUUAAUUGAGCCAGGAAAGAUAUAAAAAGACUCAAUCGCCAGAAGCUGAAGCCAGACAAAUCCACAUUGAAAAUUAGGCAAAAUUUAAUCGGUGAGGGUGAUUAACCACUAGAUAAAGCACGUGGAAUUUGAGCAGUCACAACCACUCCAAUGAUUUUUUUCAGACACGGCUUAUUUUCUACAUCCUCAAAGUUAUAAAUCCUCUUUCUGCUUCGUAUGCAAUACAUGCGUUCUUCUAAAAUCUGCUGCUCCUUUUGCAUCCUGCCCUCCAGCCCCCUCCCAGCCCUGCGAUCCUCUUUCCUCUUUGCAGCAGCCUCUCCUCCAGUCCCGGGCGCUUGCUCUGCCUUCCUGCCGGGGGCCGAAAGCUGCGCCCUAGAGCUGUGCCUGUAGCUGAAUCAUCAUUGCUAAAACCCUCCCCUUCUCUCUCCCCGGUGCAUGCAGCAAGCUCCCGUGAUUUCUCCCCCUCCGUGCCCCAGCGGCUCUUCCACACCCCGCGUGCCGGGUUCGACGCCUCCUGCACCCUGCACCCUCCCCACACCUCCCACGGCUCCUGCUCGACACUGCCUCUGCCCGGGUGACCCGCGAACACCGUCUGCUCUGCAGACAGCUUGCCAGCUGUCCUUCCGUCUAAAAACUUUGCUCUAAAACCUGUGCCAAGGAAUCCCUAAGUAAUGCACGUCACUUUUUUAAGUACUCAAUAGAAAGGCGAAGGUUGUGAGAUUUUCACCAGGCUCCUGCGGUCCCUGGGGCCAGCAGCUGGCCUGGAGCUGGGCUCCCUCUUCCAACCCCACUACAGCUUAUUUAAAUAAUUUACCAGCAGCUAAUAAUAAAUUUUGAAUAAAUAAUAAUAAAAUAAUUUUU
Molecule: long non-coding RNA, 1789 nt
Organism: Anser cygnoides (Swan goose)
Lineage: Eukaryota; Metazoa; Chordata; Aves; Anseriformes; Anatidae
Source: Ensembl